This 523-nucleotide long non-coding RNA is filed under the name Androctonus crassicauda. Lineage: Eukaryota; Metazoa; Arthropoda; Arachnida; Scorpiones; Buthidae. The record is from RNAcentral.
AGUCUUUGGUCCUUAAUUUGCAAACACUAAGUACACAAUAGGCACACAAACACAAAUAUGGUACAAGAACUCUCUGGAAGGUAGCAAAAGGCGAACGUAGAAUACGGUAGAAGCAGAAACGAAAUUGACUCCUAGAAAGAGUGAAGAACUGGAAGAUGCAGGAAUUCGGCAAGCACCACUAUUGAAGGCCCUGAUCGUAGCCAGUGUCCCUCUUAAAUACCAGUGACCCCAACGUGACCUUUUCUCCCUCUCCUCCCAGGGAGAGAGAGAAUGUUUAACUUUUUGUUGUUUCGAAUAUCAGUUGAUUGCCCGAUACUUGCACGUGUUCGCGCAAUAAACAACCCUCUGGAUAGGAGAUCGCGUAUUGAUCGAAAUACGACGGAGUGCGUCGUCAUAUCUCACCCUGUUUAUUAUGAAAAGGACUCACUUCUUAACCGUCAAAUUCCCUCUAUUUCUUCUAUUUCCCUCUUAUAUUAUUUUUAACUGCGGGUUACAAGCAUCGGUGGGGAAUGACGAAACGCAG